CGCUCCGCACACAGCCGCCGCCUCAGCCGCAUCGGAAAGCGCAAGGAGCCUUCGGCCGGGGUCACGCAGCCGGGUGGCUGAGGGGAGGCGAGGCCGCGGGAACCGGCGCUCACCUGCGCGGGGCCUGGGGCACCUGCCAGGCCUCGGCGGGCAGCGAGGUGCCCGGGGGCAGCGCUGGAACGUCACGGCGCGGCACGGCCCGCGGGCUCGGAGAGUGCAGGGGGACCGCACCGCGCUCCUGAAACCUAUUUUGACUUUGUCUCCAGAAAGCUAUUCAGCGGAGAGGCUGGCUGAUUAAUUGAUUUUAAUGAAGGUCUCCCUAGGCUCAAAUUCACAGACAGCUUUAUUUAAAAUUAAAAGGAAAAAAAAAAAAAGUGAGUGUGCUUGUCAGGAAAGCUUUUUUUUUUUUUCUUUUUUUGCCCCACUCCAGUUCUGUUAUCAUCUUUAUCUAUAUUUAUACAGCCCUACAAUGUUAUUAAUUACUUGGAGCAAAAGUGUGACUAAAAAAAAAGCCUCAAAGUCUGCAUAGAGCUCUGUUGAUUGUAUAGACAUAAAUAAUUGCACUGAUCCUGCUGACAGUUAACAACCUCAGACUGUUCUCAGCACUAUAAAAUUAGGCGUAUGUAUAAGAAGAAAUAGAACCCACAUUUGUUUUGUUAACUGUAUUGCAGGUGGGGAUGUUCCUGAUGCUGCAGUGGCUGAAGAGUAGCUGAGCCUGAAAAUGCAGUAGUAUGGUCAGUGGACAGAAAAUGAGCAUUUGCCCACUCCCAAACAACACAAAAGUGUGAAUAAUCAUCCUGGUUUAACUUAACAGUGUCCUAUGUAUCACAGAGCCUGUCAGUGGUGGUGACAAAAUAAGCUUUGUCCUUUAAGUUGGGUUAGUCAUUUUCUUUUACGUUCAUUUUUUUUCACAUACUUUUACAUACAUUUUAUGAUAUUUCCUCUCUUCUAAAUGUAUUUUUCUUAAUGUUUUCUCUUAGUACAAAUGCAACCACUAUUGAAAAACCACCACAUUGAAAAAACCACUUUUACUUCAAUCAUAGAGUUUGCAAGCAAAGUUUGCAGAUAGACUUUGAACCACAGAACUGCUAACAAUACGGAACCACUUUUAGGGGGUGAGGGUGGAAAUAGGUGGCAGAUACACAGUGGUCCUCAGAACGUUGUCAGGGUUGAGGGCUGCAGCAAAAAUGCUAGCUGACAGCUUGAACCCAGUGAUUGAGCACCUGGUAGGAAGGCAGGGCCAAUCCAGGAGAGCUCAGGUGCAAGCAAUGCAUUUGAGUGACUGGAAAGGCUAGAGCCAGGAUCCACCCCUUCCCAGACCUCAUUUAAGGGUUGGCAGGGAAGGGAAGGGUAUCUCUCUGGAGAUCCCUUUGUACCUGAGGCUUUUUGAAGUUUCCGGGGUGUCUCACUGUGACAUGCUUCUAAAUCCCACAUCCUACAAAGAGUCAGCACACGUAUAAAUCAGUGUGGUCAAAGAAUAGACAUAACAAUAGAGUGCUGGAUACCUCUGUCAUCAGCUCUGCUAUCACAAUUAUGACUCAAAUCAAUGGGUUUUACUCUCCAGUGAGAAGACUGAGCACUCACAUUGAAGAAGCAGCCUUCUGCUAUGAAGCCAGUAAUUCACAGGAAACAAUCCUGCCAUAGCGUUUGAAGGGCACCCAUGUCCCAUCAGCAGCAGAAUUAAUACUGCUUCUCUGCAUAGUUGCUCUGAUAAGGCACCUAAUAAAGUAACUCAUCAAAAAUGCUCUGUACUUUCACCAUGGAGCUCAGCCAGAGUUUCUAUCCUAUAUAGCUAUUAAAUAUACCUUUUUUUUUUUUUAUGUAUGUAUGAGGUAUUUACAGUUUUGUCGUGACUAAAUGUUUGCAGUCUUAACACAACCCACACUCUUCUAUGUGGCUGUUCAGAUAUAAAAUUUCAAAGGUUUGCAAGAUCUCCUUGUGCUUUAUUGGAUAUAAGCAACGUUCACUUUAGUUAACAUCAGUGAAGGUGUGCUGCAGAUACAUUUCCUCUGCUUCUGGCUUUCGCAAUGUUCUUAGUUUCAAGAUGUUAAGAUUUCCAAAAUAAGUUCUUGUUUUUGUGUGUUUUUUUUUUUUCUUUUUAAUACAAGGGGAGAAGCCUCUUCCUGUUUUUUUUUUGCUAGAGAGGAAUUGUUUCAGCUGGAAUGUUCAUCAUCUUGGUGAGAAAGUAAUGAGGAAGACGUUGCUGUGAUUGACUGAAAAUGCAAAAUAGACAAGACUGUAUGAAGAAAUAAACCAGUGCUUCACGUAAUGGUAUCAUACAAUUACCUCGUUCCUUAUACCACAGUUACCACAAACUUCUUGCUUUUAAGAUAUGUUUUCUUCCUUUUGUAGCACCAUUUAGAAAAGGCAAAAAAGAAAACAAUUCUUGGGCCUGUUAAAGCAUCUGAAGAUCUUUUAUUAUACAGCAGAGAGAGCAUUAAUCAAGACAGAGGGCUUAGUGCUCCUGAUUCUAGAGAGAGUAGGUGCC
Molecule: long non-coding RNA, 2488 nt
Organism: Lagopus muta (rock ptarmigan)
Lineage: Eukaryota; Metazoa; Chordata; Aves; Galliformes; Phasianidae
Exons: 5
Source: RefSeq, a predicted model, not a curated record